UCAGAUUAGGCAGGACCAGGCUGUGCCACUAAAAAUAAAAAGGCUGCUGGCACUUAAUGAGCAGAACUCAGCAGGCAUUUUCCCGCCGACACCCGUUUUGUGGCUUUGGCGCGGAAACAGCGGGUUCGCGCGGCCGCCAGCGCGGGCUUUUCAGAACCGCGCGCUUCGCGGGGUUCCGCCCCCGGCUUCGCAGACCAAUCAGAAGGCGCGGGUGACCACGUCAGCCAAUGAGACGACGGGGCCGGAGCCCCGCCAAGCCCCGCCAAGCCCCGAAGCGGGAGGGCUGGGGCCCAGUUCCCGCCACCGGCUCACCUGGUGAGGUUCACGCCCAUGGCCAGGUUGCGGUCGCAGCGGUACGUGUCGAAGCCUUCGGAACGCAGAGUGAGCUGCACCAAGGAGACGUGCGACGAGUCCAUGCUCUGCAGGUUCACGCCGCCCGAGCUGAUGUCCCAGCAGGCCUCAUUGAUGAGGUCUUUGAGAGCCUCCAAUACCUUCUUCAGGAUGGAGCCCUGGACCAGACGAGCCUCGAACAUCGUGGCGGAGUCGCGACGACUAGAUGCUAGAGACUGUGACAGGAGCGAGGUCUAGCCGCUAAGGUCUCUCGGGUCGCGAUGCAGGAGUCGCAGCGAGGACCUAGAGGGAAGCACUACCAGCCCGCUGCGCCCGCAACCGUUUAAUGCUGCCGCGUCCUCGGCGCGCGCUCUUCCCGUGCGCGAGGGUCGUGGCGUCACCGCGACGCCCCACCCACCUCCCCUUCAGGACCAAUCGCAUCCGUGUUCCGCGCAAGGCCCGCCCCUGCUGCGUGCACAGGGGCGGGGCCGCGGCGUGCGAGCGUGGGAGGCGUAGGGCAUCAUGGGAUCAGCGUAGGCUGUCGUCAAGGCCCAGCUUUGUGGCUGCAGGGUGGCUGCUGUUUCGUUCCUAAGACGUUUCCGCGCCACGGAAAUGAAAGUCACAUGCACACUGUGUGCGGCGGCCCUCCUGAAGCCGAAGCGUAUACCUGCUUCAGGCACUACAGAACGCUUUCCUUUUACUACUGCCUGGUGUAUGGAAGUCAGAGGAAAUCUUUCAAGAGUCGGUUCGUUCCUCCACUAUGUAGAUCCCACGAUCGAACUCAGGUUGCCAGGGUUGGUGAACAGAAUGACCUGCACAAGGGCUGAGACAAUUGAAAACUCCCAGCUCCAAGGCAGUCGUUGCCCUUAGCAACCUGACUACAAAAGCAUACACCUGUCAACUGUAACGGAUGCAUUUGAAAAGCAGAGGGCUAGUUACCAUGCAUGCUUCUGGAAGAAGUCCUGCUUACUUGCCUGCUCACCUCUUCCUAUGGUUCUAGAAUAUAAAAAUGAGAAUGCAAACUGGA
Peromyscus eremicus (cactus mouse) is the source of this 1357-nucleotide long non-coding RNA. RefSeq lists it as uncharacterized. The transcript has 3 exons. Lineage: Eukaryota; Metazoa; Chordata; Mammalia; Rodentia; Cricetidae. The record is from RefSeq and is a predicted model, not a curated record.